UAGCUCAGCUGGCUAGAGCAGCUGAUUUGUAAUCAGCAGGUCGUGGGUUCGAGUCC
This 56-nucleotide transfer RNA is filed under the name Flavobacteriaceae bacterium. RNAcentral describes it as "tRNA-Thr". It matches the Rfam family "tRNA", at positions 8 to 60 of the family's 71-position model. From Rfam's summary of the family: Transfer RNA (tRNA) molecules are approximately 80 nucleotides in length. Their secondary structure includes four short double-helical elements and three loops (D, anti-codon, and T loops). Further hydrogen bonds mediate the characteristic L-shaped molecular structure. tRNAs have two regions of fundamental functional importance: the anti-codon, which is responsible for specific mRNA codon recognition, and the 3' end, to which the tRNAs corresponding amino acid is attached (by aminoacyl-tRNA synthetases). tRNAs cope with the degeneracy of the genetic code in two manners: having more than one tRNA (with a specific anti-codon) for a particular amino acid; and 'wobble' base-pairing, i.e. permitting non-standard base-pairing at the 3rd anti-codon position. The record is from RNAcentral. Lineage: Bacteria; Pseudomonadati; Bacteroidota; Flavobacteriia; Flavobacteriales; Flavobacteriaceae. RNAcentral also lists the same sequence under 1 other name.